UCCAAAAAAGAAAUGAGCCAAAUAAAAUGAUAAAAACCUCAUUCAUUAACACUAAAAAGAGAGGUUACAAGAGUCAUAAAGAGUAUAAAGCUCUCAUACAUCCAAUCUACAAAAUAUAACUAAAUAAUCUAAUACAAAAUGAUGAAAUUAGUGAGACUGGGCAUCGAGCAUGAGAUCAAGAAAGGUGAGACAUGGUCAGCCUUGUCCUCGAUCGAAGGGUCUGGAUCGAGAGGAAGAUGUCGGAGGACGGAAAGCAAUAGGUUGAACAAAAGCUAGUUCACUAGAUGCAGAGAGUCUAGACUGAAGUUGAGUCCUGAGGGCAUCAAGCUGGGAUAAGAUCCCCCUCAUAGUAAGUUAGAGCCCAUC
This 366-nucleotide long non-coding RNA is filed under the name Elaeis guineensis (African oil palm). RNAcentral describes it as "long non-coding RNA (EGUI_LNC031272)". The record is from RNAcentral. Lineage: Eukaryota; Viridiplantae; Streptophyta; Magnoliopsida; Arecales; Arecaceae.